CUAGGGAGUAAAAUGUUUCUCUGAAUUGUGUGAGCUGCUAUAGCAGAUUAAUCAAACCCAAGGAGGGGCUUGUUGGGACCUCCAAUCUAUUACUGGUUGGUCAGAAGCACUCGGGCUUGCCACUGGUGUCUGAAGUUACGAGGAGUGCAGUCUUGUAGGACUGGGCCCUUAACCUGUGGGAUCUGAUGCUCUCUUCAGAUCCUUAGGCUCUCAGGAGUUCAGUGAAGAGCCACUUGAUGUAGCCGCACAGGCUGUCACGGAAGGGUCCUGGGGGCUGCGGAGUUAAUGGAGCCUGGAAGUCCACUGCAGCUGUGGUCAAGCACGGCACCAGAGUCACAGUUUUCUUGCUGGUAAUGAGCUGAGGUUGCUCCAUGGUCUAAAACAAAUCCAAGGUAUGAUGCUACUUGAUGCAAAUCAUGGCUACUGUGAGCGGCAUACACGCGAGGCGGACUCUGGGCCUGGAAUCUGCUGAAGCACCAGCUUCACUGAGUCGAUUUUGAGUUUUCCCUUUGAGAGCCACUGCUGAGAGGGCACAGGAUGUGGGCAGAACUCUUAGCACCCUUGGAUUACGGUUCCUUCCACCUAUCAGCUUUAGCAUGUGCCAGUCGAAGAGCUUGAGUUUCCGAAGUACAACACUGAGUCUUUAUGGAGUAGUGCAGCCAUGAGAUCCUGCCGGGGCUCUCCCGCAGCACCUCUGCACUUCUCAGGGAAUAUUUAUCUCUGCUGAUUGACCACUGUUGACCCAGGGUGAAGUGAUUGUUGUUCUGUCUUUGGAGAAGAGCAAAGAUGGCACCCAGGCAUACUGACAAAACUCGAGGACAUCUUUCCCUGCUUGUCUUCUUGCCACUGCUGUAAAAGGCAGGCUAAUUAGUUAGUUUCCUCCAGAAAUAUCCAUCUAAAUCUGUACUAGCCACAUCACAAUAUCUCUGUAAUACAGCUUUUAAGGCGCAAAGUGAACAUUGAUCCUGAUGUCUCUUUCCCCUUGAAUGCCAUGAUUUAAAAAAAAAAAAAAGUUUCCAGUCAAAUGUACAAAGUAAAUAAAAAAAGUCUGUCAAAGUACUAAAUUAAUAAGUAAUAGGAAAAUAGUUAAAACUCUGCACUUGCAGCAGACUCGGGGUCAUUACUUUUGAUGAAUAUUUUCCUUUCUAAGAGGCAUUGCUAAUAUAAGUAAGUAGACCAAAGAGGAUAUUUAAAAUAUAUCCAUAUAUUACCUUUUGUUAAGAUCUUUAACCCUGGAAAAUCACGUCCACAAUCAUAGCUCAUUAUCUUAAUUAGAUCUGUCCUACAUUAUCUCACAAUUUUUUCUCAUUACUUCAUAGGUGAUCAGCCUUUCAAAAAGAAUGCGAGCAGAAUUUUCUGAUUUUUUAUUGUGAUAGUGUCUGUGUUCUCUUUCAAACUCUACUUAGAUCUUUUGGGUGUCAUAAUGGUGAUGCUAUAUUUAAUUAAAAAUUACAUUAGAAAGAGAUUAAUAUUCAUUCUGAUGAAUGAA
This 1489-nucleotide long non-coding RNA is filed under the name Equus caballus (horse). RNAcentral's name for it is "lncRNA (ENSECAG00000044487.1)". The record is from RNAcentral. Lineage: Eukaryota; Metazoa; Chordata; Mammalia; Perissodactyla; Equidae.